AAUGAACGCUGGCGGCAUGCCUAACACAUGCAAGUCGAACGAGCACUUCGGGUCUAGUGGCGCACGGGUGCGUAACGCGUCGGAACCUGAACUUAGGUUUGGCAUAACUCCCCGACAGGGGUGCUAAUACCGGAUAAUGUCUUCGGCCCAAUGAUUUAUCGACUUUGGAUGGGCCCGCGUUGAAUUAGCUAGUUGGUAGGGUAAAAGACUACGAAGGCGACGAUCCAUAGCUGGUCUGAGAGGAUGGUCAGCCACACCGGGACGGAGACACGGCCGAGACUCCUACGGGAGGCAGCAGUGGGGAAUAUUGGACAAUGGGCGAAAGGCUGAUCCAGCACUGCCGCGUGAGUGAUGAAGGCCUUAGGGUUGUAAAGCUCUUUUACCCGGGAUGAUAAUGACAGUACCGGGAGAAUAAGCUCCGGCUAACUCCGUG
This 433-nucleotide ribosomal RNA is filed under the name uncultured bacterium. RNAcentral's name for it is "partial 16S ribosomal RNA". It matches the Rfam family "Bacterial small subunit ribosomal RNA", at positions 29 to 507 of the family's 1533-position model. The record is from RNAcentral.